RNAcentral lists this small RNA (149 nucleotides) under Macaca mulatta (Rhesus monkey). RNAcentral's name for it is "Metazoan signal recognition particle RNA (ENSMMUG00000055342.1)". RNAcentral also lists the same sequence under 2 other names. The record is from Rfam by way of RNAcentral. Lineage: Eukaryota; Metazoa; Chordata; Mammalia; Primates; Cercopithecidae.
GCCAGGCAUGGUGGUGCAUGCCUGCAGUCCCAGCUACUUGGGAGGCCGAGGCAGGAGCAUCACCUGAACCCGAGGAGGCUGAGGCUGCAGUGAGCCAUGAUCGUGCCACUGCAUUCCAGCUUGGGUGACAGAGUGAGACCCUGUCUUAA